AGGGUUCGAUCCUGGCUCAGGACGAACGCUGGCGGCGUGCUUAACACAUGCAAGUCGAACGAACGUUAGCAAUAACGUGAGUGGCGGACGGGUGAGUAACGCGUGAGCAACCUGCCUUUGUCAGGGGAAUAACACAGAGAAAUUUGUGCUAAUACCGCAUAACAUUUCCACUCGGCAUCGAGAGGGAAUCAAAGAUUUAUCGGACAAAGAUGGGCUCGCGUCCCAUUAGGUAGUUGGUGAGGUAACGGCCCACCAAGCCGACGAUGGGUAGCCGACCUGAGAGGGUGAUCGGCCACAUUGGAACUGAGAAACGGUCCAG
RNAcentral lists this ribosomal RNA (319 nucleotides) under uncultured bacterium. RNAcentral's name for it is "bacterial SSU rRNA". It matches the Rfam family "Bacterial small subunit ribosomal RNA", at positions 8 to 334 of the family's 1533-position model. The record is from RNAcentral.